Molecule: ribosomal RNA, 659 nt
Filed under: Valisia malayana
Lineage: Eukaryota; Metazoa; Arthropoda; Insecta; Hymenoptera; Agaonidae
Description: eukaryotic LSU rRNA
Rfam family: Eukaryotic large subunit ribosomal RNA
Source: RNAcentral
UUACCGGUCUGCGACGCUACUGCUUUGGGUACUUUCAGGACCCGUCUUGAAACACGGACCAAGGAGUCUAACAUGUGCGCGAGUCAUUGGGUUAUUGCUCAAGCAAUGAAUUCGAUAAGCCUAAAGGCGCAAUGAAAGUGAAGAUCGACCUUCGCGUCGAUCGAGGGAGGAUGGCCGAAGUUCGCUUCGGUCCGCACUCCCGGGGCGUCUCACGGUCGUCACGACCAGAGGCGCACCCAGAGCGUACACGUUGGGACCCGAAAGAUGGUGAACUAUGCCUGGUCAGGACGAAGUCAGGGGAAACCCUGAUGGAGGUCCGUAGCGAUUCUGACGUGCAAAUCGAUCGUCGGAACUGGGUAUAGGGGCGAAAGACUAAUCGAACCAUCUAGUAGCUGGUUCCCUCCGAAGUUUCCCUCAGGAUAGCUGGCACUCGCUCGAUAGCGCGAGUCUCAUCUGGUAAAGCGAAUGAUUAGAGGCCUUGGGGCCGAAACGACCUCAACCUAUUCUCAAACUUUAAAUGGGUGAGAUCUCUGGCUUGCUUGAACGCUUCGUGAAGCCAGUAGAUCGCGGCUCGUCGCGGUUGACCGCGCGGCGGGUACGCAUUAUGGAUCAGAGUGCCAAGUGGGCCAAUUUUGGUAAGCAGAACUGGCGCUGUGGGA